GACGAACGCUGGCGGCGUGCCUAAUACAUGCAAGUAGAACGCUGAAGAGAGGAGCUUGCUCUUCUUGGAUGAGUUGCGAACGGGUGAGUAACGCGUAGGUAACCUGCCUUGUAGCGGGGGAUAACUAUUGGAAACGAUAGCUAAUACCGCAUAACAAUGGAUGACACAUGUCAUUUAUUUGAAAGGGGCAAUUGCUCCACUACAAGAUGGACCUGCGUUGUAUUAGCUAGUAGGUGAGGUAAUGGCUCACCUAGGCGACGAUACAUAGCCGACCUGAGAGGGUGAUCGGCCACACUGGGACUGAGACACGGCCCAGACUCCUACGGGAGGCAGCAGUAGGGAAUCUUCGGCAAUGGGGGCAAACCUGACCGAGAAACGCCGCGUGAGUGAAGAAGGGUUUCGGAUCGUAAAGAUCUGUUGUAAGUCAAGAACGGGUGUGAGAGUGGAAAGUUCACACUGUGACGGUAGCUUACCAGAAAGGGACGGCUAACUACGUG
This 497-nucleotide ribosomal RNA is filed under the name uncultured bacterium. Its description in RNAcentral is "partial 16S ribosomal RNA". It matches the Rfam family "Bacterial small subunit ribosomal RNA", at positions 28 to 507 of the family's 1533-position model. The record is from RNAcentral.